RNAcentral lists this ribosomal RNA (357 nucleotides) under uncultured bacterium. RNAcentral's name for it is "bacterial SSU rRNA". It matches the Rfam family "Bacterial small subunit ribosomal RNA", at positions 355 to 722 of the family's 1533-position model. The record is from RNAcentral.
UCGAGAAUCUUCGGCAAUGGGCGCAAGCCUGACCGAGCGACGCCGCGUGCGGGAUGAAGGCCCUUGGGUUGUAAACCGCUGUCAGGGGGGAGCAAGGCGUAAGCUUGAGCGAGCCCCAGAGGAAGCACGGGCUAAGUUCGUGCCAGCAGCCGCGGUAAUACGAACUGUGCAAACGUUAUUCGGAAUCACUGGGCUUACAGGGUGCGUAGGCGGCCUUCCAAGUCAGGUGUGAAAUCCCCCAGCUCAACUGGGGAACUGCGCUUGAAACUGGAGGGCUGGAGGCAACUAGAGGUGCAUGGAACUUCAGGUGGAGCGGUGAAAUGUGUUGAUAUCGGAAGGAACACCAGAGGCGAAAGC